RNAcentral lists this ribosomal RNA (1475 nucleotides) under Candidatus Pelagibacter communis. RNAcentral's name for it is "bacterial SSU rRNA". It matches the Rfam family "Bacterial small subunit ribosomal RNA". The record is from RNAcentral. Lineage: Bacteria; Pseudomonadati; Pseudomonadota; Alphaproteobacteria; Candidatus Pelagibacterales; Candidatus Pelagibacteraceae.
UAACUUGAGAGUUUGAUCAUGGCUCAGAACGUACGCUGGCGGCACGCCUAACACAUGCAAGUCGAACGAAGUAGCAAUACUUAGUGGCAGACGGGUGAGUAGCAUGUGGGUAUCUACCCUUUGGCCUGGAAUAACACGAGGAAACUUGUGCUAAUACCGGAUAAGUCUUUACGGAGAAAGCUUUAUGCACCAUUGGAUGAGCCCGCACUUGAUUAGUUUGUUGGUAGGGUAAUGGCCUACCAAGACUAUGAUCAAUAGCUGAUUUGAGAGGAUGAUCAGCCACAUUGGGACUGAGACACGGCCCAAACUCCUACGGGAGGCAGCAGUGGGGAAUCUUGCACAAUGGAGGAAACUCUGAUGCAGCGAUGCCGCGUGAGUGAAGAAGGCCCUUGGGUUGUAAAGCUCUUUCGUCGGGGAAGAAAAUGACUGUACCCGAAUAAGAAGGUCCGGCUAACUUCGUGCCAGCAGCCGCGGUAAUACGAAGGGACCUAGCGUAGUUCGGAAUUACUGGGCUUAAAGAGUUCGUAGGUGGUUGAAAAAGUUAGUGGUGAAAUCCCAGAGCUUAACUCUGGAACUGCCAUUAAAACUUUUCAGCUAGAGUAUGAUAGAGGAAAGCAGAAUUUCUAGUGUAGAGGUGAAAUUCGUAGAUAUUAGAAAGAAUACCAAUUGCGAAGGCAGCUUUCUGGAUCAUUACUGACACUGAGGAACGAAAGCAUGGGUAGCGAAGAGGAUUAGAUACCCUCGUAGUCCAUGCCGUAAACGAUGUGUGUUAGACGUUGGAAAUUUAUUUUCAGUGUCGCAGGGAAACCGAUAAACACACCGCCUGGGGAGUACGACCGCAAGGUUAAAACUCAAAUGAAUUGACGGGGACCCGCACAAGUAGUGGAGCAUGUGGUUUAAUUCGAAGAUACGCGCAGAACCUUACCAACACUUGACAUGUUCGUCGCGACUCUAAGAGAUUAGAGUUUUCGGUUCGGCCGGACGAAACACAGGUGCUGCAUGGCUGUCGUCAGCUCGUGUCGUGAGAUGUUGGGUUAAGUCCCGCAACGAGCGCAACCCUCACUUUUAGUUGCCAUCAUUAAGUUGGGCACUCUGAAAGAACUGCCAGUGAUAAGCUGGAGGAAGGUGGGGAUGACGUCAAGUCCUCAUGGCCCUUACGUGUUGGGCUACACACGUGCUACAAUGGCAUCUACAACAGGAAGCAAAACGGCAACGUUAAGCAAAUCCCGAAAAGAUGCCUCAGUUCGGAUUGCACUCUGCAACUCGAGUGCAUGAAGCUGGAAUUACUAGUAAUCGUGGAUCAGCGUGCCACGGUGAAUGCGUUCCCGGGUCUUGUACACACCGCCCGUCACACCAUGGGAGUUGGUUCUACCUUAAGGCAAGGUUUUAAACCCUUGACCACGGUAUAGUCAGCGACUGGGGUGAAGUCGUAACAAGGUAGCCGUAGGGGAACCUGCGGCUGGAUUACCUCCUUU